AACGCACAUUGCGCCCCUUGGUAUUCCAUUGGGCAUGCCUGUUCGAGCGUCAUUUACACCCUCAAGCUUCGCUUGGUGUUGGGCGUCUGUCCCCGCUUCAUGCGGGGACUCGCCCCAAAUCCAUUGGCAGCGGCUCCGCCGGCUUCUCGCGCAGCACAUUGCGCAUCGGAAGGCUCCUGGCGGGAUCGCGUCCACUAAGAUACCACCCAGUUUGACCUCGAAUCAGGUAGGGAUACCCGCUGAACUUAA
Molecule: unclassified non-coding RNA, 249 nt
Filed under: uncultured fungus
Lineage: Eukaryota; Fungi
Description: partial contains 5.8S ribosomal RNA, internal transcribed spacer 2, and large subunit ribosomal RNA
Source: RNAcentral